This 253-nucleotide ribosomal RNA is filed under the name uncultured bacterium. Its description in RNAcentral is "partial 16S ribosomal RNA". It matches the Rfam family "Bacterial small subunit ribosomal RNA", at positions 524 to 776 of the family's 1533-position model. The record is from RNAcentral.
UACGUAGGGUGCAAGCGUUAAUCGGAAUUACUGGGCGUAAAGCGUGCGCAGGUGGUCCAUUAAGCCCGGCGUGAAAGCCCCCGGCUCAACCGGGGAGGGUCGUCGGGGACUGGUGGACUUGAGGGCGGCAGGGGCUGGUGGAAUCCCCGGUGUAGUGGUGAAAUGCGUAGAGAUCGGGGGGAACACCCGUGGCGAAGGCGGCCAGCUGGGCCGACCCUGACACUGAGGCGCGAAGGCGUGGGGAGCGAACGGG